Molecule: long non-coding RNA, 2396 nt
Organism: Raphanus sativus (radish)
Lineage: Eukaryota; Viridiplantae; Streptophyta; Magnoliopsida; Brassicales; Brassicaceae
Exons: 2
Source: RefSeq, a predicted model, not a curated record
UCCUCUCUCUUUAUUCCCUUUAAAAAAAAAUUUAUCUUUGUUUAUAAAAUUUCCAUUUCCAUGAUCAGGUUUAAUAUCAAGCAUAAAUAAAAGAUUUUUGACAUUCCACAUGUUCGAAUUUUCUCCCAAAAAUAUAUAAAGAAGGCUUUUUGAAGUACGAGAUCUCAUUUUCCAAAGCAUAUAAACUAAAACAGAAAAACCAAUUAGAAACAAACCUAAUUUUCAUUUGCAAAAAAAAAAAACCUAAAUUUAUAAAUAUUUAGAUGGUUCAUAUUUUUCCAUAACCAAUAAUAAUACUGAAUAAAAACUUUGAAUAUUGAAGGAAUUAAAUUAUUUUUUGAAAUUAUACAUGGUUAUUCUGGCUCCACAUAAGUGGUCCAGACUAGUCAUAUUUUGAAUGAAUUAAAUUUAAUAUGUGAAUUAUAUGCUUGAAUGUUAUUUAUAUUACAAAUAAAUUAGGAAAAAUAAUUGUAAAACACCAUUGUAUAAUCACACAAUUUGGACAAAGUAAUAUACUAAAUAUAUAUGAAUUUUCGUAAAAAAUAUUUAUUAUAGUUUACUCGUAAUGACUUUGUAAACACAACUUUUUUAUGAACUAAAAUUUCGACCAACAAAAUUUCUUUAAACAAAACUUCUUUGAGAAAUAGACUUUAACAAACAUCAAAAAGUGAAUAUAAAUAUAGCAAAAUUAAAAGCCAUUUUUACAUAUUAUUUUUCAUCUAAAUCUAUACUACUAAAGCAAAAUCCCUCUUAAAAUUUUGCCAAUAGUUUAAUAUUAUAAUUAUAAUUUUAUGCUAGAAUAUUCUGAUAUUCAUGAUGAGACCAGUUAAAAAUCAUUGAAACAAGAAAAGUAAAAAAUGGAAAAACACUCGAACCCAUUUAAACACGAGUCAUUUGCAUAGAAAAUAGUAAAUAAUAAGAAAAUUUGCAAGGAUGGAAAAACAAUAAAAUUAUAGAGAGAGAAAAGAGUAAAAUGACACUGUCACCCUUAUAGAAAGAGAAAGAUAAUUUAUAGCAUAUGAAUUAGUUUAGCCGGCUAACAUAUGUUUUGGUAUUCAUUUUUCUUGAUUUUAUUUCGGACAAAAUACAAGUACUAUAGUUUAUAUGUAAUUAAAUACGUUUAAAAUGCGAUUAUUUAUAUUUUUCGUAAAUUAACACGGCUAUAUUCUAAUUUAUCUGGAAAUUUACAUAUUUAACUGGUUAUUAUAUUAGUGAUCGGCUAAAUUUAAUAAUUAUCUGUAUAUUAGUAUUGUUAGUUGGAUUUUUCUAUCAGUAGCCGAUUAUCGUUAUAAAAUCAAACUUAAAUAAGUUAAGUCAGAUAUAUAAUUUAUCCGGAUAUCAUUAUUGUUGGCUGAAUUUUUUUAUCAAUGGUUGGCUAAAGGUAUAAUAACUUUCAAUCGAUGGUCGGCUAAAAGUAUAAAAAAUCACUAUUAUCCGUACAUUAUUAUUGUUAGUCUAGUAUGCUGCAAAUCAACUGAGACGCAGUGGCUGAUGCGCUCUAUCCACAAAAAUAUGGAUUUGGUACCAAAAGCAAAGUGGUUUGUGUAAUAAAGAUGAAGUACUUGACCGAGGGAGCUAGAGCAUACAGACAAAAAAAAACAAAGAAGGAGUAUCUACCUUGCAAUCACUCAUCAUCCUAUGAUUCUAAUUACACAAAGACGAAGAAGAAAAUAUGAAACUUAUACACAAAAGGCGAUAUCAGAAUCCAAAAAAAAAUAAAAAAAACCCAAAAAUCAAACUUUAUCAAGAAAACAAAAUCAAGAAGAGCCCUCAGAUCUCGUAGCAAUUAAAUCUGAUUAUUCACUGCUGGAUUCUGUUGUUGUUGUGAGAGAAAGCAUCGCGGUCAGGGUGAAAAUGGUGUGAUAAACAGUAAUUGCGGCCGUGAUCAGGGACGAUGAAGAUGGCUGCAGGAGCAGAUGAAACGAGGUUUGUUUGGGACAUGGUUCCUCAGCCCUGAGGGCAUCGCGAAGGCACGAGGUACGGAGCAAAUCAGUCAUUUGAGCUGGAAACUCCGCGAGCUUCUUGCGGUAAAAACGAGUGACGUGAGCUAGGAACAUGGCUCUAUUGCUAAGGUCUUUGGCGACAGAAGGGUCGGAACCGAUAGAAGGGUCAGAACCGACGAGGAAGGGGAGACCGAGCUUCUCGGAGCUCCGGCGUACGACCUAGAGGUCUGGACAUAGUCGAAGGUGUUCGUGAGAAGAUGGAGAGUGAGAAAGAAACAAAAGGUUGUUUUUACUUUCUCCUUUUGGUGUACUAAUUGGGCUACAGGUUUUAGUUAGGAGUAGGGACAGUUUCGCCAUUAUUAAAUGUGAAUAGUAGAAGUUCCAUCUUUUGUUUUUGUCGGGUUUAUUAUACUAUUAGAAACAAUGAGAAAUAUUACAUAGACGAUAUUACAA